Molecule: ribosomal RNA, 500 nt
Filed under: uncultured bacterium
Lineage: Bacteria
Description: bacterial SSU rRNA
Rfam family: Bacterial small subunit ribosomal RNA
Source: RNAcentral
AGAGUUUGAUCAUGGCUCAGAUUGAACGCUGGCGGCAUGCUUUACACAUGCAAGUCGAGCGGCAGCGCGGGGGCAACCCUGGCGGCGAGCGGCGAACGGGUGAGUAAUGCAUCGGAACGUGUCCCGUAAUGGGGGAUAACGCCGCGAAAGCGGCGCUAAUACCGCAUACGCUCUACGGAGGAAAGUGGGGGACCUGCAAGGGCCUCACGUUAGGGGAGCGGCCGAUGUCCGAUUAGCUAGUUGGUGGGGUAAUGGCUUACCAAGGCGACGAUCGGUAGCUGGUCUGAGAGGAUGAUCAGCCACACUGGGACUGAGACACGGCCCAGACUCCUACGGGAGGCAGCAGCAAGGAAUUUUGCGCAAUGGGGGAAACCCUGACGCAGCAACGCCGCGUGGGUGAAGAAGGCCUUCGGGUUGUAAAGCCCUUUUGAAGGGGAAGAUAAUGACGGUACCCUUCGAAUAAGCCUCGGCUAACUACGUGCCAGCAGCCGCGGUAAUUC